RNAcentral lists this unclassified non-coding RNA (376 nucleotides) under uncultured Pseudobdellovibrionaceae bacterium. Its description in RNAcentral is "uncultured Bdellovibrionaceae bacterium contains 16S-23S intergenic spacer region". The record is from RNAcentral. Lineage: Bacteria; Pseudomonadati; Bdellovibrionota; Bdellovibrionia; Bdellovibrionales; Pseudobdellovibrionaceae.
UCCGACUUAACGUCGGCAGUCUCGCUAGAGUGCCCAACUAAAUGCUGGCAACUAACGACAGGGGUUGCGCUCGUUAUGGGACUUAACCCGACAUCUCACGACACGAGCUGACGACAGCCAUGCAGCACCUAUAUUACAGUUCCGAAGAACUAAGAUAUCUCUACCUUAUUCCAUAACAUUUCGAGCCCAGGUAAGGUUUUUCGCGUUGCAUCGAAUUAAACCACAUGCUCCACCGCUUGUGCGGGCCCCCGUCAAUUUCUUUGAGUUUUAAUCUUGCGACCGUACUUCCCAGGCGGGACACUUAACGCGUUAGCUUCGGCACUGAAGGGGUCAAUACCUCCAACACCAAGUGUCCAUCGUUUACGGUGCGGACUAC